This 3853-nucleotide unclassified non-coding RNA is filed under the name Hevea brasiliensis (rubber tree). Lineage: Eukaryota; Viridiplantae; Streptophyta; Magnoliopsida; Malpighiales; Euphorbiaceae. The record is from RNAcentral.
GAGAGAGAGAGAGAGAGAGAGCAGCAGUAGCAGCAGCUAGCAGAACCAUCACCUCCGCAACUAGCACUAUUUCAGUUACUGGAAACAACUGCCCAAACCCAUAAAAUCCUCUCCAUAUGCGUAAAAAUAUCAUACAUGUCUUUAUAUGAUUAUAGCUAUAUAUAUAUGUGAAGAUCUUAAUAUAUGUUUAAAGUGUCUGCUGCCGUUGUUGUUGCAUGCUCAUGUGGCCUUCAGCUUGCUCUAAAAUGUUCUGUACUUGAGUUACUAACUUGUACUAUUUUGGGUUUUGCCCGUGUAAUAAGAUCUGGGUUCUUUGGAAAAUUUCUAAGGGAAGUAAUAUUUGGUACUUUCAAGUGAGAUCUACUUCUGUUUUGCGAGUUCGGGAUUUUGGGUCUUACUGCGUCUGUUCUCAAGUGCUUGGUUCUGGAGCCUUUCUCAUCUUAUUGCUGAAAUCAUUAGCUCACUGUUUGGUUGGUUCUCUGGAGAAGCACGCGUGGGGGAAUGCUGGCUGGGAUGUGGGGUUCCAUUUGUUGAAGAUUUGUGUGGUUUAAGAGCUUUUUGUCAGUGAUUAGUGAAGUUGGGGGUUGUGGCUGAAGAAAAUAGCAAGCGGAUGUGGCUGAAAUCGAUCUUGUUUUGUAGCAACACCGGCUUCGUUGAAGAUUCAAGAAGAGGGGUUUUGGUGUGGUUGUUAGUUUUCCAAUGAAGUUUCACAUUGAAUAUCAUUUGACUGAUGCGUUUUAUUGAAGGUUAGACACCAAAAUUUGGCAAUCUGGAUUGGUUUUUGAAGGGGGAGGAAAAAGGUAAAGGUAUGGUAUUGUGUGAGAAGAAACCAGGGAAGAGAGUAAUUGUUGAGUGGUUUGGUUGGGGUUUAAUUGGUGUGGGUAAGAGUGGGUUUUUUGGGAUCUUCUCGUUGUGGGUCUAGACUUGGUUUUGAAGGCGUUAUUAAAUCUGUGAUAAUGAGGCUCUCUUCAGCUGGUUUUAGUACACAGACCCAGGAAGGGGAGAAAAGGGUUUUGAAUUCUGAACUUUGGCACGCAUGUGCGGGUCCUCUUGUUUCUCUGCCUGCUGUUGGAAGUCGUGUUGUUUAUUUCCCCCAGGGUCACAGCGAGCAGGUUGCUGCGUCAACUAACAAGGAAGUGGAUGCCCAUAUUCCUAACUACCCAAGCUUACCUCCACAACUUAUCUGUCAACUUCACAACGUGACCAUGCAUGCAGAUGUUGAGACGGAUGAAGUGUAUGCACAGAUGACCUUACAGCCAUUGAGUCCUGUAUGCCGUAUUGUCUUUAUUGGUGUUUUGAUUUGUUGUUCUUUGGUUGACAUAAAUUUCAUUACAUAUUUAAAAUGAUUUUAUUCUAUAGCAAGAACAGAAGGAUGCCUACCUUCCCACUGAAUUGGGCACUUCCAGCAAACAGCCAGCAAAUUAUUUUUGUAAAACUUUGACAGCCAGUGAUACAAGUACUCAUGGAGGAUUCUCUGUCCCUCGCCGGGCAGCUGAAAAAGUGUUUCCUCCACUGGACUUUUCCCAACAACCUCCAGCUCAAGAGUUGAUUGCUAGGGAUCUACAUGAUAACGAAUGGAAAUUCAGGCAUAUCUUUCGUGGCCAGCCCAAAAGGCAUCUUCUAACAACAGGGUGGAGUGUGUUUGUAAGUGCUAAAAGACUUGUCGCUGGGGAUUCAGUCCUUUUUAUCUGGAAUGAAAAGAAUCAAUUGUUACUUGGUAUCCGACGUGCUAGUCGUCCUCAAACUGUGAUGCCUUCAUCAGUCUUAUCAAGUGACAGCAUGCAUUUAGGGCUGCUUGCUGCUGCAGCUCAUGCAGCUGCAACAAAUAGCCGUUUCACAAUAUUUUACAAUCCAAGGGCUAGCCCAUCGGAAUUUGUCAUACCAUUGGCCAAGUAUGUUAAAGCAGUCUAUCAUACCCGGGUUUCUGUUGGUAUGCGCUUUAGAAUGCUAUUUGAAACAGAAGAAUCAAGUGUCCGCCGGUAGGCCCUAUGUCAUUAUUGUUAUAUUUAUUAUAAAUGUUACAGUUAUUGCAUAAUUGGCUUUUUGACUGGUUACAUUUUCCCCCUCAACUAUCAAAAUGAGCUCAAUUUUUGGCUGCUGUAAACAUUAAAUAUAUUACAUACAAGUGACAUUGAAAUAAAUAUCUGCCCCCAUUUUAUUGGGAUGAUCAAUUGUUAAAUUACGGUUGGUAUAUAUCAACAGGCUUGAAGUUGGAUCCCUCUGUACUUCUAUCUUUUUCUUGGCUCAUCUGAUAACAUGUUCUCUUGUAUUGUUGUUUCUUAUUUUAAUGCGAUGAAUUUAUUAUGAGAAUUUUAUACAUGACUUUUAUGCGUGAAGCUACAUGGGUACAAUAACUGGCAUAAGCGACUUGGAUUCUGUUAGGUGGCCUAAUUCACAUUGGCGCUCAGUCAAGGUUGGCUGGGACGAAUCCACAGCUGGAGAGAGGCAACCAAGGGUUUCCCUAUGGGAAAUUGAGCCAUUAACAACGUUCCCAAUGUAUCCUCCAUUCCCUCUAAGGCUUAAGCGCCCUUGGCCACCUGGACUUCCCUCAUUCCAUGGAAUCAAGGAUGAUGAUUUGGGAAUGAAUUCCCCCCUUAUGUGGCUGCGAGGUGAUGGAGAUCGUGGAAUUCAAUCUAUGAACUUUCAGGGACUAGGAGUAACACCAUGGAUGCAGCCACGAGUUGAUGCUUCCAUGCUUAGUUUGCAAACUGAUAUGUAUCAAGCUAUGGCUGCUGCUGCACUUCAGGAGAUGAGGGCUUUUGAUCCUUCCAAGUCAUCAACUGCAUCCCUUUUGCAAUUCCAGCAACAUCCUAAUCUCCCAAGAACUGCUGCUUUGAUACCACCCCAGAUGCUGCAGCAGUCACAGCCUCAACCGGCCUUUCUUCAAGGUGUUCAAGAAAACCAACAUCAGCCCCAGUCUCAGGCUCAAACACAGUCUCACCUUAUUCAGCAACAGUUGCAUCACCCUCACUCACUUAAUAGUCAACAGCAACAGCAGCUGCCACAACAGCAGCAAUUGGUUGAACAUCAACAGAUUCCUAAUGUUGUCUCUACAAUAUCUCAAUUUCCUUCAGCCUCUCAAUCCCAGUCACCACCAUUACAAGCCAUCUCUUCCCUGUGCCAACAGCAGAGUUUUUCCGACUCAAAUGGGAACCCUGUGACAAGCUCUGUUGUUUCUCCUUUGCAUAGUCUCAUGGGUUCAUUUUCCCAGGAUGAAUCAUCUCAUUUGAUGAACCUGCCUAGAACCAAUCCAUUGGUAACUUCUUCUGGCUGGCCAUCAAAGCGAGCUGCUGUUGAACCUCUUAUUUCUUCUGGAGCUCCACAAGGUGUUCUACCCCAAGUACAACAGUUGGGGCCCCCUCAGACAAACAUCUCUCAGAGUUCUGUUUCCUUGCCACCCUUCCCUGGUAGGGAGUGUUCGAUGGACCAAGAUGGUGGCACUGAUCCACAAAGCCAUCUUCUAUUUGGUGUCAAUAUAGAGCCUUCAUCUCUUCUACUGCAGAAUGGAAUGUCGAGUCUUAGGGGUGUUGGUAGUGAUAGUGAUUCCACAAAUGUGCCCUUCUCUUCUUCAAAUUACAUGGGCAAUGCAGGCACUGAUUUCUCACUUAAUCCAGCAAUGACACCGUCAAGUUGUAUUGAUGAAUCAGGUUUCCUGCAGUCCCCGGAAAAUGUGGGCCAAGUAAACCCACCAACUAGAACCUUUGUUAAGGUUUACAAGUCAGGGUCCUUCGGUAGGUCACUAGACAUUACCAAAUUCAGCAGUUACAAUGAAUUGCGGAGUGAGCUUGCUCGUAUGUUUGGCCUUGAAGGCCAGCUGGAGGACCCUCUGAGAUCAGGCUGGCAGCUUGUAUUU